AGUUUGAUCCUGGCUCAGAUUGAACGCUGGCGGCAGGCCUAACACAUGCAAGUCGAACGGUAACAGAGAGUAGCUUGCUACUUUGCUGACGAGUGGCGGACGGGUGAGUAAUGUCUGGGGAUCUGCCUGAUGGAGGGGGAUAACUACUGGAAACGGUAGCUAAUACCGCAUAAUGUCGCAAGACCAAAGCGGGGGACUUUCGGGCCUCGCACCAUCAGAUGAACCCAGAUGGGAUUAGCUAGUAGGUAAGGUAAUGGCUUACCUAGGCGACGAUCCCUAGCUGGUCUGAGAGGAUGACCAGCCACACUGGAACUGAGACACGGUCCAGACUCCUACGGGAGGCAGCAGUGGGGAAUAUUGCACAAUGGGCGCAAGCUUGAUGCAGCCAUGCCGCGUGUAUGAAGAAGGCCUUCGGGUUGUAAAGUACUUUCAGUCAGGAGGAAGGGUGUGAAAUUAAUACUUUCAUGCAUUGACGUUACUGACAGAAGAAGCACCGGCUAACUCCGUGCCAGCAGCCGCGGUAA
This 524-nucleotide ribosomal RNA is filed under the name uncultured bacterium. RNAcentral's name for it is "bacterial SSU rRNA". It matches the Rfam family "Bacterial small subunit ribosomal RNA", at positions 10 to 523 of the family's 1533-position model. The record is from RNAcentral.